RNAcentral lists this unclassified non-coding RNA (318 nucleotides) under air metagenome. Its description in RNAcentral is "partial contains small subunit ribosomal RNA, internal transcribed spacer 1, and 5.8S ribosomal RNA". The stretch from base 1 to 46 matches the Rfam family "Eukaryotic small subunit ribosomal RNA", at positions 1786 to 1831 of the family's 1831-position model. The record is from RNAcentral.
AAGUCGUAACAAGGUUUCCGUAGGUGAACCUGCGGAAGGAUCAUUACUGAAGCAUUUGCAAUGGUUUGUUGCUGCCUCGCAAGAGGACCCUUCAAAGUGCACGCCAUUCAAUCUUCUACUUUACCACCUGUGCACCUUUCAUAGAUUGUUGAAUAACACCUCAUCGUAACAGAUGGAUCUGAGAGCCUUAACCCGCUUUCAAUUCUAUUCACAAUUUAUGUUUUUCAUACACACCUUUUGAACUUUUGAAUGCGUUGAUUAUGGUUUCAUCCAUAUAAAUGUGAAAUACAACUUUCAGCAACGGAUCUCUUGGCUCUC